This is a long non-coding RNA of Aethina tumida (small hive beetle), 405 nucleotides long. RefSeq lists it as uncharacterized. Lineage: Eukaryota; Metazoa; Arthropoda; Insecta; Coleoptera; Nitidulidae. The record is from RefSeq and is a predicted model, not a curated record. The transcript has 3 exons.
CGACGAAGAGCUCGGUACCGAUGACAUUUCGAAACUAAACGUUAAAUAUAGACGGUUAAUUAAUUUAUAGAAAUUCAUUACAAAUACGGAAAUAUGAAAAUAUAAUUUAGGUGAAGGGUUUAUGUGUUACGACUCUGUGUCGAUCCGCUAAUGAUAAACUGUUCCCACCCAACAAGUGGUUGCAAUCUUAUCAACCACAACAGGUUGAAGGAUGUUUACGACCCUGUGUCGAACUGCUAAUGAUAAACGGCUCUACCCUAUUUAGGAUUGAUUAUAAUCUUUAGGCAAACAUUAAAAUAGUUUUCUCUCAAAAUAUUUUUCCCACCCAACAAGCGGUUGCAAUCUUAUCAACCACAACAGGUUGAAGGAUGUUUACGACCCUGUGUCGAUCCGCUAAUGAUAAAC